CCUUUCGGGGUUAGUGGCGGACGGGUGAGUAUCGCGUAGGGAUUUAUCGUUGGGUGGGGGAUAACCUUGGGAAACUGGGGCUAAUACCGCAUGACGCCUGUGGGCCAAAGUUGUAAUGGCGCCUGACGAGAAGCCUGCGUCCGAUUAGCUAGUUGGUGGGGUAAAGGCCUACCAAGGCUACGAUCGGUAGCUGGUCUGAGAGGAUGAUCAGCCACACUGGGACUGAGACACGGCCCAG
This 238-nucleotide ribosomal RNA is filed under the name uncultured bacterium. Its description in RNAcentral is "partial 16S ribosomal RNA". It matches the Rfam family "Bacterial small subunit ribosomal RNA", at positions 82 to 334 of the family's 1533-position model. The record is from RNAcentral.